Molecule: ribosomal RNA, 433 nt
Filed under: uncultured bacterium
Lineage: Bacteria
Description: partial 16S ribosomal RNA
Rfam family: Bacterial small subunit ribosomal RNA
Source: RNAcentral
AACGAACGCUGGCGGCAUGCCUAACACAUGCAAGUCGAACGAGACCUUCGGGUCUAGCGGCGCACGGGUGCGUAACGCGUGGGAACCUGCCCUUAGGUUCGGAAUAACUUCCCGAAAGGGGUGCUAAUACCGGAUAAUGUCUUCGGACCAAAGAUUUAUCGCCUUUGGAUGGGCCCGCGUUGGUUUAGCUAGUUGGUAGGGUAAAAGCCUACCAAGGCGACGAUCCAUAGCUGGUCUGAGAGGAUGAUCAGCCACACUGGGACUGAGACACGGCCCAGACUCCUACGGGAGGCAGCAGUGGGGAAUAUUGGACAAUGGGCGAAAGCCUGAUCCAGCAAUGCCGCGUGAGUGAUGAAGGCCUUAGGGUUGUAAAGCUCUUUUACCCGGGAUGAUAAUGACAGUACCGGGAGAAUAAGCUCCGGCUAACUCCGUG